AUACGAAGGGGGCUAGCGUUGUUCGGAAUUACUGGGCGUAAAGCGCGCGUAGGCGGAUUGGUCAGUUAGGGGUGAAAUCCCAGGGCUUAACCCUGGAACUGCCUCUAAUACUGCCAGUCUUGAGUUCGGGAGAGGUGAGUGAAAUUCCUAGUGUAGAGGUGAAAUUCGUAGAUAUUAGGAAGAACACCAGUGGCGAAGGCGGCUCACUGGCCCGAUCCUGACGCUGAGGCGCGAAAGCGUGGGGAGCAAACAGGAUUAGAAACCCUAGUAGUCC
Molecule: ribosomal RNA, 274 nt
Filed under: uncultured bacterium
Lineage: Bacteria
Description: partial 16S ribosomal RNA
Rfam family: Bacterial small subunit ribosomal RNA
Source: RNAcentral